RNAcentral lists this ribosomal RNA (533 nucleotides) under uncultured bacterium. RNAcentral describes it as "partial 16S ribosomal RNA". It matches the Rfam family "Bacterial small subunit ribosomal RNA", at positions 355 to 900 of the family's 1533-position model. The record is from RNAcentral.
UGGGGAAUAUUGCACAAUGGGCGAAAGCCUGAUGCAGCGACGCCGCGUGCGGGAUGAAGGCCUUCGGGUUGUAAACCGCUUUUAAUUGGGAGCAAGCGAGAGUGAGUGUACCUUUUGAAUAAGCACCGGCUAACUACGUGCCAGCAGCCGCGGUAAUACGUAGGGUGCAAGCGUUAUCCGGAAUUAUUGGGCGUAAAGAGCUCGUAGGCGGUUUGUCACGCCUGGUGUGAAAGUCCAUCGCUUAACGGUGGAUCUGCGCCGGGUACGGGCAGGCUAGAGUGCAGUAGGGGAGAUUGGAAUUCCCGGUGUAACGGUGGAAUGUGUAGAUAUCGGGAAGAACACCAAUGGCGAAGGCAGAUCUCUGGGCUGUUACUGACGCUGAGGAGCGAAAGCAUGGGGAGCGAACAGGAUUAGAUACCCUGGUAGUCCAUGCCGUAAACGGUGGAUGCUGGAUGUGGGGCCCUUCCACGGCUCCGUGUCGGAGCUAACGCGUUAAGCAUCCCGCCUGGGGAGUACGGCCGCAAGGCUAAAGC